Molecule: transfer RNA, 80 nt
Filed under: Cryptococcus deneoformans B-3501A
Lineage: Eukaryota; Fungi; Basidiomycota; Tremellomycetes; Tremellales; Cryptococcaceae
Description: tRNA-Leu
Rfam family: tRNA
About the family: Transfer RNA (tRNA) molecules are approximately 80 nucleotides in length. Their secondary structure includes four short double-helical elements and three loops (D, anti-codon, and T loops).
Source: RNAcentral
GGCGAAGUGUCCGAGUGGUUAUGGAGUGUCGUUCAGGUGCCGGCAUGCUUUGCGCGUGGGUUCGAAUCCCACCUUCGUCA